AACUCUACUCAAGGUCCAUGGUGGGGAAACAACUCAACCGAAGGUCCAUGGUGGGGAAACAACUCAACCGAAGGUCCAUGGUGGGGAAACACCACUACUCAAGGCCCAUGGUGGGGAAA
RNAcentral lists this unclassified non-coding RNA (119 nucleotides) under Drosophila erecta. RNAcentral describes it as "GG21836". Lineage: Eukaryota; Metazoa; Arthropoda; Insecta; Diptera; Drosophilidae. The record is from RNAcentral.